This 253-nucleotide ribosomal RNA is filed under the name uncultured bacterium. RNAcentral describes it as "partial 16S ribosomal RNA". It matches the Rfam family "Bacterial small subunit ribosomal RNA", at positions 524 to 776 of the family's 1533-position model. The record is from RNAcentral.
UACGAAGGGAACUAGCGUUGUUCGGAAUCACUGGGCGUAAAGCGGGCGCAGGCGGACUAUCCAGUCAGGGGUGAAAGCCCAAGGCUUAACCUUGGAAUUGCCUUUGAAACUGAUAGUCUGGAGUGUGUGAGGGGGUAGCGGAAUUCCGAAUGUAGAGGUGAAAUUCGUAGAUAUUCGGAGGAACACCGGUGGCGAAGGCGGCUACCUGGCACACAACUGACGCUGAGGCCCGAAAGCGUGGGGAUCAAACAGG